UCCGAAGGGCAUGCCUGUUUGAGCGUCAUUU
Molecule: ribosomal RNA, 31 nt
Filed under: Petasospora fabianii
Lineage: Eukaryota; Fungi; Ascomycota; Saccharomycetes; Phaffomycetales; Wickerhamomycetaceae
Description: Cyberlindnera fabianii partial 5.8S ribosomal RNA
Source: RNAcentral